Cavia porcellus (domestic guinea pig) is the source of this 4756-nucleotide long non-coding RNA. RefSeq lists it as uncharacterized. NCBI's taxonomy places the organism in Eukaryota, Metazoa, Chordata, Mammalia, Rodentia, Caviidae. The record is from RefSeq and is a predicted model, not a curated record. The transcript has 3 exons.
GAUAGUGUUGCUCAAAUCUUUUAUCUGUUGGUUAAUUUUCUGACUGUUUCACUAAGUAUGGAGAGAAGAGUGUUAACAUUUCUGAUUAUAAUUGCAUACAGUCCAUCUCCCUUUGUGGCCCUGUUCAUUUUUGCUUUAUGGCUUUUGAAGCUGUGUUAUAAAGUACAUGCAUUUUUUGGAGACAGAGCUUGCAAUGCCUUCCAGGGUUAUGAUUUAUCUUCCCGAAACAGGCAUCCCUAGUGGAUCUUCACUAGGAUCUUCACUAACUGAUCGUUUAGAAGGACGGAGGCCUGCAGACCUUUUGGUUUGUUUGUUUGCAAGCUUGUUUCUUUGUUCCAGUAACAGAUUCCUGGUGAACGUGGCCAGAGCAGAGUGAUCUUGCUGCCAUGGAUGACAAAAGCGUCCAGUAAUGCUUGAGAAGUGCUUUGUGAGUGUUCCCUGAGUAGAAGCCACUUAGCUUUUGCUUAUUAUUUAUAAAUAUAGUUUUAGUUAAAGUUUUUACGUGCUUACCACUAUGAGGUAUGUUACUUUCUCUCAUUAACUGCAUAUAAUAAACCUAAAACCUUGAGGGGAUAAGUAUUAUCAUGAACACGUACCAAUAAAGAAACUGGGUAUUAAGUAACUUUCUCAAACUCACAUAAUUCACAAAUGACAGAGGCAGAAAUUGAAGCCAGACAUAUCUGGCUCCAAAGACUAAGCUCUCAAACACUGUGCCUACCUGUGUGAAUAUCUAUUAAUACAGAGCUCUGGCACCUCCCAAGAUCCCUGUGCUAUUGUUAGCUUGCGUUUCUGUCAGAACAUUUCCCAUGUUGAAGGGAACCCUUCCUCUCUGUGACUCACAUGCCUUGUUCAGUUUCUCCUCCAAGACUUCUGCGAACUCCUCUCCUCCUCUUCCACAGUCAUCUUGCGCCUGCCGAAGAUGACUCUCCUAGGUGAUGGUGCUGCAGGGUCCAUAUGGACCCCAGUGCUGGGUGUCCUUGCAGAAGGAGCUCCAGUUCUUGGUGUCCUUGGAGAGUGGCUGGCAGGCUGAGCAGGCUGAGGUCCGGCCAGGGCAGUUUCAGGAUCAUUACUUUCUGUCUAGACACCAUACUGUUAUUAAUGCCAUUUUGCCCCACAUUGGCCUUGUUUUUUGGCAAAAGAAAUUCUCUUGCCAUUCAGACCUGCUGGGCUCAGUCAUGGUGGAACUUAGCUCAGAGCAAGAAGUGGCAUGAGAAGGGAAGGCAGUGAGCUCCCCAGGUCUGGCGUGGGGCAGGUCCAAUUCUGGUUCCUGAGUCCAAGUCCCAGGCAGGAAGGAGAAGGGGGAGGUUGUGCAGGUUGGAGGGGCCUGUGGUUUGCAGGGUGGAUGCUGGACCACCAUCUUUUCUGGGGUGGAGCCUGUGUACAUGUGUGUGCACGUGUGUGUAAGCACGAUGGGGCAGGGUCAGCUAGAGCAGCUGGGAGCCCCAUCUCUCUGGGUCUUUCUGGUCUCACUUCAGGACAAACAGAAUUUCACUUCACUGCAAAAACAUCUUUCAGGCAGGGAGGAGCUCUGCACAUGAGCUGGUCCCUGGCCUCCUCCGCUGCCCUCCAAUCUCAGGGCAGAGGGAUGAGGAAGGAGCCAGGGGGACCGCAGGGCAGGCUGAGGGGCGUCACAGAGCUCCAGGCCUGGGUGUCACUGGGGCAGGCCCUGUUGCCCUCUGCCUGAGUGCUGGUGGCUGCUGUUCCCAAUAAUCGCUCUUGCAGAGCCCCCACUAAUUGCUCAGAUUUACUCCUAAUUAGGACUUAACGGGGCUCCUGAUGGGCAGCAGAGAAAUGAGGACAGAGAAAGUCCUAGAGAACCUCUUUGACCUUCCCACGUCUCCAGAUGGGACAAGGAGGGGGAGCCCAAAAGUAGGGGGUGCAAGAGGCUCCUCCCUCUGCCCUACGUGCUGUUCAGCCCCCACGGUGGCCUUUGAGGGAGGCAACCAGACGGCGGUGAUCCUCAGAGAGCUCUUUGCAUGUCCUUGGCCCCUGCCAGGUCACUCUUCCCGGGGGGAGGUGGCAGGAAGACUUGCUCUCUCUCAUCACAUGCGUUAUUGCCAGGCAUCACACUCAGCAGCCUUGUGUCUUGCUUGUCACUGGAAAAACCUUCCCUGCUUUCUUGACAGCAAAGCCACACUACAUGUGGCAGAAGGAAGAGGGCUACAUUAGUGCCUCUGCUGUGUGACCAUGGGUGAAUCAUCUAACUUCUCUGGGCUCUGUGUUUCCCAUCUGCCAGCUGGGGAGACGAAUGUGGAACAUGGGCUGGUCGCUUAAACUCUUGCUCGCUGGCUGCCAUUUCUGAGUUGUCAGUCAUGACUGUGGUGGGAGGCAAGGUCCCUGGAGAAGGUACGAGAGCCUGGUGCCAGGGCAAAGGGACUGAGAGCCUACAUUUGUGGCCCUUGGGUUCCUCUAAGGGAUGUAAGUGGGGCGCCUGGAUGCUGGGUGCCCUAAAUCUAACCUUUGGUGGCACUGGGCUGGAACUGGAACCCAUCCAGCCGGGACAGGCUGUGCAGGCAGAGGACUGGGUGUCCCAGUGCUUUAGGCUGGGUCCGCUGGCUUCCGAGAACACAGAAACACUAAUUACUCUGAACUCCUGCCUACUCCUCCCACCGUCUCUCCAUGGAACAGAGAAGACCUGCUGGGUUCCAAGCCUGGCCCUGUCCCAGGGACACUGGACGGCAAGGUCUCACCUCUACACUGAAGGACAGCUCUGCAUUCCGGAAUCUCUGCUUCACUACCCCAGGCUGGGUCUCUGCCCUGGCCAUGGCUGGUGCUGGGGUCACCGCCUGGACCAGGGAGCCACUCAUAGCAUCUGGCCCCGGGCGGGCAUCCGAGGCUCCCAUCCUGCAUUGCCCUUGGUUGACUGCACGGAGAAGGCCAGAUUUUGUGUCAGAGGAAGAAAGGGCACGGCUAGGAACCUCCUGGACCUGGUACUGGAGUGGAACAUUAUUCGGCUUUGAAAAGGGACUUCUGAGAUGUGUGACCACAUGGAUAACCUGAGGACAUGGUGCUAUGCAAGAUGAGCCAGUCACAAAAGGACAAGCGCUAUAGGACAUCAUGCACAUGACAUGCACGAGCAGUCGAAUUUAAAGAAGAAGCAAGAAAGGGUCAGCUGGACGAAGACUCCCCACACCUGAGCCACCUCUGGGAGGGGCCCGGCUCCCCCCCCCCCCGGCCUUGUCAGGGGACUGGUGGGGACACAGAGGUAAAUGGACAUUUACCUGACACCCACGUGGGAAGGGGUCGGCUCACCACUGCGGUGUUCCCUGACGGCACUUCUCCAUACUCAGGCCGCCCUUCCUCUGCACGAAUUUAUAAUAUCUUCCUUCCCUCUUGCUAUUAAUCGUGAUUUAUGUGUCCUCCAUGAAACUAGCGGGGAGGCCAAGAGGCGGAGACGCAAUGCUGCCACGAAUGCCACACCGUCUGGGGCGUCUCUGCCUCCUUCCUCCGCCUCUGCCUGGGGCUUGGGUGGGGUAUGGGGGCAAAGCUUCAACCCCUGCCAGGGGGGCAUCGCGUGGAGAAGAGAGUCUGCUCAGGCCGCCGGUCCCUGUGGCCCCUGUGUGACUUUGUCCCCGGCCACCCCCCUGGUGGAAACGGACCCCUAGGGCGCGCUAGGCACGUGCCUGUCGGAGCGGGUCCCCACGGCCUGGAGGGGGCGCCGCGGGCUGAGCGCUUUCUCAGUGGCGCCCUCGUCCGUCCCUCGCUUCAGGGGCACCAGCGGUGUCCUCUCAGCCUUCCUCUGCCACCUGUGCUCCCGAGGUCUUGACAAGAGCCCUAUGACUGAACUCCUCAGUGCGCUUGGUGUGUUCCAUGUCCUGGGGUGUCCUGCUUUUUUGGGAAUCCCUUGUGGGUAUCCACAGAGGAGACGGAAAGGACGGCAGGCAGUGGAGGGCUGCCAAGCUUCCUUGGAAACAGGCUCGGGCCAUUCUCCUGGGCAAAGCCUCCGCCAGCCACGCUGGUCUUCACUGGGUCCCUCCUGGGCUCUCAGCCUGCUUUCUGCUUACUUUUGAUCAUUGCUGGUUUACAUCAUUGACACGAUAUGGAAAUUAUUUUAUUGUGCAAGGCUAGCCAGACGAUAAACUUUUUGUGGUGAAACACCAUUUCUUUGUCUUUUUUCUUUUGGCUGAGUCAGAGUCUCACUAUGUAGUUCAGGCUGGACUUGAAUUCACUGUGCAGGCUGGCCUCAAAUUUGUCAAAAUCCUCCUGCCUCAGCCUCCCAAGCACUGAAAUUAUAGGUCUGUACCACCAUGCCUGGUGGAACACUAUUUCCUAUUCGACUUUUACAGCAAGAUCUGAAAGAGAGUCUUUAUUUUUACAAAAAUUCUGUAGCUGGCCAGGUGGGAAGGGUGGCCCACACCUGUAAUCCCAGCUUCUCAGGAGGCUGAGGCAGAAGGAUUGCACGUUUGAGGCCAGCCUGAGUAACUUAGUAAGACCCUGUAUCAAAACAAACAACAACAAAAAAAUAAAGGUGUGAAGGUGUUGCUCAGUGGUAGAGUGCACUAGGGUUAAUUUCAAGUACUACAAAACAAAAUUGUGGUGCUUCAUCGAUUUCCAAUAGAUAUCUCUUGAUUUUUCAUGCCCAGAUCAUUUACUCUGCAGGUACAUAUUAUGCCAUGAUGCUGUUGAUUUUCUCUUCUUCAUUGUAAUUCAUCUUCCCCAGAUUCUUAUGUUUUCAGUGGCUUUGGGGUGACUUAAACACUUGUGUAACAUUGAUUUUAUCAACCUCAUUAAAAUCUGCAUUUCUUGGGGCCAGUUA